UGGGGGAUAUUGCACAAUGGGCGAAAGCCUGAUGCAGCGACGCCGCGUGGGGGAUGAAGGCCUUCGGGUUGUAAACUUCUUUUGCUCUGAACAAGGCAUGCCUUUGGGGUGUGUUGAGUGUAGGGGUUGAUUAGCGCCGGCUAACUACGUGCCAGCAGCCGCGGUAAUACGUAGGGCGCGAGCGUUGUCCGGAAUUAUUGGGCGUAAAGGGCUUGUAGGUGGCUGGUUGCGUCUGUCGUGAAAGCUCAUGGCUUAACUGUGGGUUUGCGGUGGGUACGGGCUGGCUUGAGUGCAGUAGGGGAGGCUGGAAUUCCUGGUGUAGCGGUGGAAUGCGCAGAUAUCAGGAGGAAUACCGGUGGCGAAGGCGGGUCUCUGGGCUGUUACUAACGCUGAGGAGCGAAAGCGUGGGGAGCGAACAGG
Molecule: ribosomal RNA, 420 nt
Filed under: Fusobacteriota bacterium
Lineage: Bacteria; Fusobacteriati; Fusobacteriota
Description: Fusobacteria bacterium partial 16S ribosomal RNA
Rfam family: Bacterial small subunit ribosomal RNA
Source: RNAcentral